GUCCCUUCAGGUACAUUCGAUAAAAUUGCAACGAUACAGAGAAGAUUAGCAUGGCCCUUGCAAGGAUGACACACAAACAAACCCAAUGCACGAUUCUAAU
Molecule: small nuclear RNA, 100 nt
Organism: Benincasa hispida (wax gourd)
Lineage: Eukaryota; Viridiplantae; Streptophyta; Magnoliopsida; Cucurbitales; Cucurbitaceae
Source: RefSeq, a predicted model, not a curated record